GACGAACGCUGGCGGCGUGCCUAACACAUGCAAGUCGAACGGAGCUGUUCCUUCGGGGGACAACUUAGUGGCGAAACGGGUGAGUAACGCGUGAGGAACCUGCCUUUCAGUGGGGGACAACAGUUGGAAACGACUGCUAAUACCGCAUAACAUGUACGGAUCGCAUGGUCUGUACAUCAAAGCUUUAUGUGCUGAAAGAUGGCCUCGCGUCUGAUUAGCUAGUUGGUGAGGUAACGGCUCACCAAGGCGACGAUCAGUAGCCGGCCUGAGAGGGUGAACGGCCACAUUGGGACUGAGACACGGCCCAAACUCCUACGGGAGGCAGCAGUGGGGAAUAUUGCACAAUGGGGGAAACCCUGAUGCAGCGACGCCGCG
Molecule: ribosomal RNA, 375 nt
Filed under: uncultured bacterium
Lineage: Bacteria
Description: bacterial SSU rRNA
Rfam family: Bacterial small subunit ribosomal RNA
Source: RNAcentral